AUUGAACGCUGGCGGCAUGCUUUACACAUGCAAGUCGAGCGGCAGCGCGGGGCAACCUGGCGGCGAGCGGCGAACGGGUGAGGAACACAUCGGAACGUACCCGAGAGUGGGGGAUAACGCCGCGAAAGCGGCGCUAAUACCGCAUAUUCUCUUUGGAGGAAAGUGGGGGACCGCAAGGCCUCACGCUCACGGAGCGGCCGAUGUCCGAUUAGCUAGUUGGUGGGGUAAAGGCUUACCAAGGCGACGAUCGGUAGCUGGUCUGAGAGGAUGAUCAGCCACACUGGGACUGAGACACGGCCCAGACUCCUAAGGGAGGCAGCAGUGGGGAAUCUUGGACAAUGGGGGCAACCCUGAUCCAGCCAUGCCGCGUGCGGGAAGAAGGCCUUCGGGUUGUAAACCGCUUUUAGCCGGGAAGAAAAGGCGAUUCCUAAUAGGGGUCGUUCUUGACGGUACCGGCGGAAUAAGCACCGGCUAACUACGUGCCAGCCGCCGCCGUAA
This 498-nucleotide ribosomal RNA is filed under the name uncultured bacterium. RNAcentral describes it as "partial 16S ribosomal RNA". It matches the Rfam family "Bacterial small subunit ribosomal RNA", at positions 29 to 523 of the family's 1533-position model. The record is from RNAcentral.